Long non-coding RNA from Cyprinodon tularosa, 318 nucleotides. RefSeq lists it as uncharacterized. The record is from RefSeq and is a predicted model, not a curated record. The transcript has 4 exons. NCBI's taxonomy places the organism in Eukaryota, Metazoa, Chordata, Actinopteri, Cyprinodontiformes, Cyprinodontidae.
CAAGAGAGUUCCCUUUUACUGUCAGAGAGUGAAAGUUAUAAGAAGGAUAAGGUUUGAGAUCUGAGUCAUUGUAUUCUGGACCCAAACAGGGGAGCAUGGCUGAAGCUGAUGUUAUUUACACUGAUGUAAACUUCAGAGCUCCUCACACUGAGGAUCAGGCUGCUUUACCAGCUGAGUGUAUUUAUUCUAAACCGGUGAUCUUGCAAAAGGGAUCAGACAUUCAACAAGACAAACUAAUCAAGAGGUCAAACUCCACCUUGAAGCGACUGGUUGUCCUGGUUCCUGUCCUUCUCUGUGCGGUCACUGUCAUUGCCCUUG